AUUCGGGCUCGUCCGAUCCUCCCACCCUUUGUAUACCUACCUCUGUUGCUUUGGCGGGCCGCGGUCUUCCGCGGCCGCCCCCCGAUUUUGGGGGGUGGCUAGUGCCCGCCAGAGGACUAUCAAACUCCAGUCAGUAAACGUUGCAGUCUGAAAAAAAUAUUAAAUAAACUAAAACUUUCAACAACGGAUCUCUUGGUUCUGGCAUCGAUGAAGAACGCAGCGAAAUGCGAUAAGUAAUGUGAAUUGCAAAAUUCAGUGAAUCAUCGAAUCUUUGAACGCACAUUGCGCCCCUUGGUAUUCCGGGGGGCAUGCCUGUUCGAGCGUCAUUUCAACCCUCAAGCUCUGCUUGGUAUUGGGCACCGUCCUUUGCGGGCGCGCCUCAAAGACCUCGGCGGUGGCGUCUUGCCUCAAGCGUAGUAAAAUACACCUCGCUUCGGAGCGUAAGGCGUCGCCCGCCGGACGAACCUUCUGAACUUUUCUCAAGGUUGACCUCGGAUCAGGUAGGGAUACCCGCUGAACUUAAGCAUAUC
Molecule: ribosomal RNA, 530 nt
Filed under: Rhizoctonia sp. XAE_141
Lineage: Eukaryota; Fungi; Basidiomycota; Agaricomycetes; Cantharellales; Ceratobasidiaceae
Description: eukaryotic LSU rRNA
Rfam family: 5.8S ribosomal RNA (bases 173-326)
Source: RNAcentral